GGGAUAUGAGCUGGGAUAGCUCAGUUGGCAGAGCAUGAGACUCUUAAUCUUCAGGUUGUGGGUUUGAGCCCCACAUUGGAUGAAAUAUUCCU
RNAcentral lists this transfer RNA (92 nucleotides) under Podarcis lilfordi (Lilford's wall lizard). RNAcentral describes it as "tRNA.Lys". The stretch from base 17 to 74 matches the Rfam family "tRNA", at positions 8 to 63 of the family's 71-position model. From Rfam's summary of the family: Transfer RNA (tRNA) molecules are approximately 80 nucleotides in length. Their secondary structure includes four short double-helical elements and three loops (D, anti-codon, and T loops). The record is from RNAcentral. Lineage: Eukaryota; Metazoa; Chordata; Lepidosauria; Squamata; Lacertidae.